GUGAGCACCAUGGCCUGGACUCCUCUGCUCCUCGCGCUCCUCUCUCACUGCACAGGGUCCCUCUCCCAGCCGGUGCUGACUCAGCCGCCCUCCCUCUCUGCAUCUCUGGGAGCCACAGCCAGACUCACCUGCAUCCUGAGCAGUGACGUCAGUGUUGGUGACUACAGGAUAUACUGGUACCAGCAGAAGUCAGGGAGCCCUCCCCGGCUUCUCCUCUACUAUAAAUCAGACUCAGAGAAGUACCAGGGCUCCGGGGUCCCCAGCCGCUUCUCUGGAUCCAAAGACGCCUCGGCCAAUGCGGGGCUCCUGCUCAUCUCGGGGCUGCUGCCUGAGGACGAGGCCGACUAUUACUGUCUGAUCAGGCACAAUAGUGCUUCUCACAGUGACACACACAGAUGGGGAAGUGCGACAAAAACCUCGGCCUCCCCAGGAUCUUAUUUCACAGCAACUGAACCUGUUAACAUAACUCCCAAUUGCAAACUAUACAUGGAAGUACUUCUGGUUUAUAAUGUGUCACUUUCCAUUUUUUAUCCCAUGUACCUGAGCCAACACCCCAACCCAAUGGUCAUUAUGUCCCUGAAAGAAGGCCUGUCCCCCGUGGGUCAGAAGCCCAGGUCCCGGGCGAUGGCUGUUUCUGACGUGAAAUAA
Non-coding RNA from Myotis daubentonii (Daubenton's bat), 648 nucleotides. The record is from the annotation of a RefSeq genome assembly. NCBI's taxonomy places the organism in Eukaryota, Metazoa, Chordata, Mammalia, Chiroptera, Vespertilionidae.